UUAAGUUUGACAUUUUGUGUUUUGACAAUUUCUAAUUGUCAAUUCAAAUUUGCUAUUUUCAAGCGUUACGUUGUUACCAACCGCUAGAUACCUAUUCCCCUACAUUGUCAAAAUUUAUUUUAUUUUUGUUAAAAAAAAAGGAUAAAAACGCGAAUUACAAAAAAUAGCAUAAAAAUCACGUUUCGUAAGACUUAAAGCACUCAUUCAUUAAAAAACUCGUAAAAUAAUCAUUAAUUUCUGACAAUGACAAGUAAGAUGUAAACAAAGCCAAUUUUUAGGUUAUAAACAAGUUUGUGGUUAUGAUUGUUUUCGUUGAUUUUUGUGGCGAAAAAUGGGUUUAUUUCACCCCCUUUAUACAUAUACAUAUAAAAAAAGUUGUUUUUAAUAAGAAUUGGGUCAAUUAGGAGAUCUUAAAUAGUGGAGGAGUAAAAUAUGGUGAAAAUUGAGAAAAAAUUUUAAGGUUAAGAAAGAAGAAUUUAUCUUUGCAAAUUAAGUCGGAUAAAGAAAAUGGAGCAACUUUUUUCUUGUGUAUUUCGAAGAAUCUUUAGAAGAAAAUUAAUUGAAGAAUUAAGAUGAAGAAAAGAACGUUUAAUUUUAUGGAAAACAACAUUAAAACAAGGUUGGUAGCCCUUCAGAUCAGCUGUCAUGUCAUCCCUUUAGUUUAUUUCUAUCUUGUCAUUGUUAAAUUUGUGUUGGUUUUUAUAUUUUUCAUCAUUUCGCCGCUUUAUUUUAUUUAAACGCUGCAUAUUUUAAUCGGAGUUACUUACUUUGAAGUAUUUCGAAGAAUCUUUAAAAGAAAAUUAAUUGAAGAAAUAAUUUUAUGGAAAUCAACAUUAAAGCAAGAAACACCUGUAUAAGGAGCUCUUGGUGCCAACAUUAAAGAAUUCCAUGGAAAAGUUUCUUGGAUUUACUGGAUUUUCUAAUAAUUAUUAUUAAUUUAAUGUAAUUUUGCAAUCAGCAACACAAUAUACGACUGUGUAUGCUUGGUUGCAUAUUUCAUAAAUAAGAAAAUUAAUAAAAUGUAUUGUUAAAUAUUAAAUA
Onthophagus taurus is the source of this 1041-nucleotide non-coding RNA. NCBI's taxonomy places the organism in Eukaryota, Metazoa, Arthropoda, Insecta, Coleoptera, Scarabaeidae. The record is from RefSeq and is a predicted model, not a curated record.